GAUGAACGCUGGCGGCGUGCUUAACACAUGCAAGUCGAACGGAAAGGCCACAGCUUGCUGUGGUACUCGAGUGGCGAACGGGUGAGUAACACGUGGGUGAUCUGCCCUGUACUUCGGGAUAAGCUUGGGAAACUGGGUCUAAUACCGGAUAGGAAUCACAUGUGGGUGUGGGGUUGGAAAGCUUUUGCGGUAUGGGAUGAGCUCGCGGCCUAUCAGCUUGUUGGUGGGGUAAUGGCCUACCAAGGCGUCGACGGGUAGCCGGCCUGAGAGGGUGUACGGCCACAUUGGGACUGAGAUACGGCCCAGACUCCUACGGGAGGCAGCAGUGGGGAAUAUUGCACAAUGGGCGCAAGCCUGAUGCAGCGACGCCGCGUGGGGGAUGACGGCCUUCGGGUUGUAAACUCCUUUCGUCAGGGACGAAGCGAAAGUGACGGUACCUGGAUAAGAAGCACCGGCUAACUACGUG
RNAcentral lists this ribosomal RNA (466 nucleotides) under uncultured bacterium. RNAcentral's name for it is "partial 16S ribosomal RNA". It matches the Rfam family "Bacterial small subunit ribosomal RNA", at positions 28 to 507 of the family's 1533-position model. The record is from RNAcentral.